RNAcentral lists this ribosomal RNA (497 nucleotides) under uncultured bacterium. Its description in RNAcentral is "partial 16S ribosomal RNA". It matches the Rfam family "Bacterial small subunit ribosomal RNA", at positions 28 to 507 of the family's 1533-position model. The record is from RNAcentral.
GAUGAACGAUGGCGGAGGGAAGAAUAAAGGCAAGUCGAGCGAACGGACGAGAAGCUUGCUUCUCUGAUGUUAGCGGCGGACGGGUGAGUAACACGUGGAUAACCUACCUAUGAGACUGGGAUAACUUCGGGAAACCGGAGCUAAUACCGGAUAAUAUUUUGAACCGCAUGGUUCAAAAGUGAAAGACGGUCUUGCUGUCACUUAUAGAUGGAUCCGCGCUGCAUUAGCUAGUUGGUAAGGUAACGGCUUACCAAGGCAACGAUGCAUAGCCGACCUGAGAGGGUGAUCGGCCACACUGGAACUGAGACACGGUCCAGACUCCUACGGGAGGCAGCAGUAGGGAAUCUUCCGCAAUGGGCGAAAGCCUGACGGAGCAACGCCGCGUGAGUGAUGAAGGUCUUCGGAUCGUAACCCUCUGUUAUUAGGGAAGAACAUAUGUGUAAGUAACUGUGCACAUCUUGACGGUACCUAAUCAGAAAGCCCCGGCUCCCUACGUC